AUUGAACGCUGGCGGCAUGCCUUACACAUGCAAGUCGAACGGUAACGCGGGGCAACCUGGCGACGAGUGGCGAACGGGUGAGUAAUACAUCGGAACGUGCCCAGUAGUGGGGGAUAGCCCGGCGAAAGCCGGAUUAAUACCGCAUACGACCUACGGGUGAAAGCAGGGGAUCGCAAGACCUUGCGCUAUUGGAGCGGCCGAUGUCAGAUUAGGUUGUUGGUGGGGUAAAAGCCUACCAAGCCGACGAUCUGUAGCUGGUCUGAGAGGACGACCAGCCACACUGGGACUGAGACACGGCCCAGACUCCUACGGGAGGCAGCAGUGGGGAAUUUUGGACAAUGGGCGCAAGCCUGAUCCAGCCAUGCCGCGUGCGGGAAGAAGGCCUUCGGGUUGUAAACCGCUUUUGUCAGGGAAGAAACGCUCUGGGCUAAUACCCCGGGGUAAUGACGGUACCUGAAGAAUAAGCACCGGCUAACUACGUG
RNAcentral lists this ribosomal RNA (482 nucleotides) under uncultured bacterium. RNAcentral's name for it is "bacterial SSU rRNA". It matches the Rfam family "Bacterial small subunit ribosomal RNA", at positions 29 to 507 of the family's 1533-position model. The record is from RNAcentral.